GUGAGGAAUAUUGGACAAUGGGCGCAAGCCUGAUCCAGCCAUGUCGCGUGCAGGAAGACGCAUCUAUGGUGUGUAAACUGCUUUUGUACGGGAAGAAACACUCCCUCGUGAGGGAGCUUGACGGUACCGUAAGAAUAAGGAUCGGCUAACUCCGUGCCAGCAGCCGCGGUAAUACGGAGGAUCCAAGCGUUAUCCGGAAUCAUUGGGUUUAAAGGGUCCGUAGGCGGUUUAAUAAGUCAGUGGUGAAAGCCCAUCGCUCAACGAUGGAACGGCCAUUGAUACUGUUAGACUUGAAUUACAAGGAAGUAACUAGAAUAUGUAGUGUAGCGGUGAAAUGCUUAGAUAUUACAUGGAAUACCAAUUGCGAAGGCAGGUUACUACUUGUGGAUUGACGCUGAUGGACGAAAGCGUGGGGAGCGAACAGGAUUAGAAACCCGUGUAGUCC
Molecule: ribosomal RNA, 445 nt
Filed under: uncultured bacterium
Lineage: Bacteria
Description: partial 16S ribosomal RNA
Rfam family: Bacterial small subunit ribosomal RNA
Source: RNAcentral